Molecule: ribosomal RNA, 161 nt
Filed under: uncultured bacterium
Lineage: Bacteria
Description: partial 16S rRNA
Rfam family: Bacterial small subunit ribosomal RNA
Source: RNAcentral
GGAAUCUUCGGCAAUGGACGCAAGCCUGAUGGAGCAACACCGCGUGAGUGAAGAAGGGUUUCGGCUCGUAAAACACUGUUGUAAGAGAAGAAUGACAUUGAGAGUAACUGUUCAAUGUGUGACGGUAUCUUACCAGAAAGGAACGGCUAAAUACGUGCCAG